This is a non-coding RNA of Pelobates cultripes (western spadefoot toad), 974 nucleotides long. NCBI's taxonomy places the organism in Eukaryota, Metazoa, Chordata, Amphibia, Anura, Pelobatidae. The record is from the annotation of a GenBank genome assembly.
CUGGAAACAAAAACUUGCUAUUGGUUUUCAAUCUCCAUCCUGAUUGAAUGGAGAGCCUUCUCAGUGAGUUAAAUAAUCCUUUUCUAAAACCUGUAGCAAACGCGACUGUUUACAAACAUGAUAACUUAGGACAAAUAAAAUAAUAUCUGGAAACAUUAUCAGCAUUGCGUUUAUUUAAAUGAAGUAUAUAGCAAAUCAGAUUGGAUAAUAGUUAAUUGAUUGUACAUAAUACAUAUAGAAAUAUCAUGGUAUAUAGAUAGAUAGAUAUAGACUUCCUCGCUGCCACGGAGCCUGGGAACGGUUUUUACUUUCUUUAGAUUUAGCCUUCCUUGUCCUGGGUAAUUCCUACAAUCUCGAUAAUAUCCAGAAAAUAUGAAUUCCUACAAUCUCGAUAAUAUCCAGAAAAUAUGAAUUCCUACAAUCUCCGUGUCCUGAUAAUCGAUUCCUACAAUCUCCAAUGUCCUGGAUAAUAUCGAUCUCUGAGUAAUAUUGAUUCCUACAAUCUCCAAUGUCCUGAUAAUAUUGAUUCCUAUAAUCUCCAAUGUCUUGAUAAUAUCGAUCUCUGAGUAAUAACGAUUUCUACAAUCUCUGUGUCCUGAUAAUAUUGAUUGCUAUAAUCUCCAAUGUCCUGAUAAUAUCGAUCUCUGAGUAAUAUCGAUUCCUACAAUCUCCAAUGUCCUGAUAAUAUCGAUUCCUACAAUCUCCAAUGUCCUGGAUAAUAUCGAUCUCUGAGUAAUAUCGAUUCCUACAAUCUCUGUGUCCUGAUAAUAUUGAUUCCUAUAAUCUCCAAUGUCUUGAUAAUAUCGAUCUCUGAGUAAUAACGAUUUCUACAAUCUCUGUGUCCUGAUAAUAUUGAUUGCUAUAAUCUCCAAUGUCCUGAUAAUAUCGAUCUCUGAGUAAUAUCGAUUCCUACAAUCUCCAAUGUCCUGAUAAUAUCGAUUCCUACAAUCUCCAAUGUCCUGGAUAAUAUCGAU